RNAcentral lists this transfer RNA (65 nucleotides) under Heterocephalus glaber (naked mole-rat). It matches the Rfam family "tRNA". From Rfam's summary of the family: Transfer RNA (tRNA) molecules are approximately 80 nucleotides in length. Their secondary structure includes four short double-helical elements and three loops (D, anti-codon, and T loops). Lineage: Eukaryota; Metazoa; Chordata; Mammalia; Rodentia; Bathyergidae. The record is from Rfam by way of RNAcentral.
UAUACUGUGGUAAAAACACUUGUCUAGCACAUAUGAGACCCUGGGUUCAAUCCCCAGCAGUGUAA